GGAGUCUGGGCCGUGUCUCAGUCCCAAUGUGGCCGUUCAACCUCUCAGUCCGGCUACUGAUCGUCGCCAUGGUGAGCCGUUACCUCACCAUCUAGCUAAUCAGACGCGAGCCCAUCUUUGAGUGAUAAAUCUUUGGUAGUCCUAUCAUGCGGUAAAACUACGUUAUGAGGUAUUACCAUCCGUUUCCAGAAGCUAUCCCUCUCUCAAAGGUAGGUUGCUCACGUGUUACUCACCCGUCCGCCACUAAGAUAAUCUAAGUAAACUCAAAUUAUCUCCGUUCGACUUGCAUGUGUUAAGCGUGCCGCCAGCGUCGUCCUGAGCCACUGAUCAAACUACU
This 337-nucleotide ribosomal RNA is filed under the name Ruminococcus flavefaciens. Its description in RNAcentral is "partial 16S ribosomal RNA". Lineage: Bacteria; Bacillati; Bacillota; Clostridia; Eubacteriales; Oscillospiraceae. The record is from RNAcentral.